Molecule: long non-coding RNA, 16188 nt
Organism: Chelonia mydas (Green sea turtle)
Lineage: Eukaryota; Metazoa; Chordata; Testudines; Cheloniidae
Exons: 5
Source: RefSeq, a predicted model, not a curated record
ACUGAUAUAAAAUUGUAUAAGAAUUGGAGGAAAUGGCAUGCCUUGGAUCGUGGCGGCCUGCCCAGGAUUGUCUCUUUGGAAUUGUGUGGGUAGAAGGCCUAGUAAACAAGGCAAAGAACCAAUGACGUGACAGAAUGGACUAUAAAUGGAUGCCUAUGAUUUCUGCAAAUCAGAGUAGUUUUUUUGAUCCAGAGUCCCAUGUGGAGAUAGAUGUGGUUUUCGCUGGCUCCCCGCAUCUUAUGAUCUUAUCCUGAUGGAAGGAAUCUUGGCUGGCCAUCGGGACCAUUCUGACCUUUGGACUCUGGUAUAGUAUGUUUGGGGUAUGAAUGUGGAGUGAGUAAGGUUUGUUUUGUAAUCAAUAAAGAGCAUUUAGAGUAUUAUAUACGAACACUGUGUCCAGUAUCUACUUGCUCCCCAUUUCGUGGGGAGACCUCUAUUGCGGAUCUAACUUGUGGUGGAGAAUGCGGAAUGGGGAGAGAGAUAUUAAGGAGUGUCGGAUUUUGAGACGGGGUCAUACAGAGUUGGGGGAGUCCUUAUUUAAGAUUAAUAAGGGUGACUCCUUAUUUGUGAAAUUUGUGAGGAAAAAAAUGUGUGGGGAGAUACCAUGUGGUGUUAGUGUAAUAAUGUUUAAAAUGCUGUUUAAGAAGAGAAGUAAAGGGGUGGGAGAGGCACCCCAGUGGACUAAAGCUAAAGCCCAUUCUCUGUUAGAGAAGGAGAUUAUUGCAUUUGGGACGUGCCCUUGGAUGGAAGGUGCAGUGGAACCAGAUUUAGCACUUGAUACCUUACAAAACAUGUUCGAAAUAUAUGUAUAGUUGUACAAGCCUAAUGCUAGUAAAAAGCAAACAGCCGUAGUAUGGCUGUUGUGACAAGCUAUAGAAAAGGCAAUUGCAUGUAAGGGGGAAGUCUGCAGAAUUACAAACAUUACAAGAGAAUUUUAAAACUUGCCAGGAAAAUUUGGAACGGGAAGUGAGGCAGGCAGAUAAUGCAAACUCAGUUAGAACAAAUGGGGAAACAAAAUAGGGAACUGGAGAAAAGAAUGCUGGACUGGGAAAAGAUUAAAGCAGACAAAGAUAAAUUAGACCAUCAAGUGAUAGGAAUGAAACAGUUAAUUUGAGAUUUGACUAAGAAAAAGGAAGAGGAGAUCGCAAGCGUUUCUCACAGUUGGUGACAAAAAAUUAUAGCAGCAUUGAAAAAGCAAGGGAAAACAUAGGAGCUGUAGGUUGCGGCUGUGUGUCAAAAAGAGAGAGAUUUGGAUUUGGAUUCCAAUGAUAUGUGGUAUGGAGAGUAUCUGCAAGGGGGUCAAGAGAAAACGGAAUUUGACCAAACUCAAGAGGGGCUUUAUACUAAGUUGAGGGAAGAAAUAAGAAACUGGCUGGGAGAGCCUAAACCAGAAAAGUCUGUAGCAGUGCUAGAACGGAGAUCAAUCAUUAAGGAUACAGCGGGGGAGAUACAGUCAGAGCAGACACAAAUAAUUCCUGCGAGUUCAUCAGAUUUACAGUUGAUGGUAAAGUCAUUACGCCCAGUGAAUAUGAAAAAUUUAGUUACAUGGCUAUCACAGUGGGCAGAGUUAGGAGGAACAGAGAAUUUAAAUAUGAGUGAAUCUUAUAGGUUAAUCAGGCCAGCUACCACUGGAGAGAUUAGACAGGCAGUAGAUCGAGUGAAAAAUGCUUCGAACAGGCAGCCAAAAGCACACCAACUGAUACCAUGAUUUAUUAUGCUGUUAGGAAAAGAAAUAGGUCAAAGACCCAUGAAGGUGUUAUCCAGUGCAGAUUACAUGAAGCCUGGAGAUUCACCCAGGGAUUACCUGUUAAGGAGAAUAAUAUUGGGAUUAUUGGCUGGAGAAAUACAACCAGUGACUAAUCCCACAGUGGAGGUUGCCAGACAUGUCACAGCUGAUUCUUUGAUGGCAGUUAAUUUGAAUCAGAGGGAAUUUUGGAAUAAUGUGUUUGAAGGAUUGGACAGAAAUUUAUUAGUGAUGUGUACAAAUGUGGUGAACCAAGCAGCCCAGGAUGAGGGGUUAACAGUUAUGAAUGCACUGGAGCACUGGCUAGUAUGCCAACGCAUGAUGAAAGGGGGAAGCCAGGUAGAAGGAUUGAAACCCAGAGUACCUUUUGCUGAAGCAAUAACAUAUUCAAAUGAGAUUUCUUAUAGAUCAGGGCACCGCGAGAGAGGAAGAGGCCAUGGUAGAGGACAAAACACCCCACCCAAGGAGGUAGAGAGUAGAAUAAUCAAAAUAAGCCCCAGAAGGGAGUAGGUGUGCUUCGUAAUAUUGCUUGGAGGUAAUUGAAAUUGAGGGGAGUAGACAUGGAUAAGUGGAAUGGGAGACGUACUGAUGAAUUGAUCAAAGAAAUGCAAAGGAUGGAAGAAGAAAUGUUUAAGGAGCAGAAAAAGGUUGCAGCUAUGCAAGCUGAGGGUUCAGAGAAACCCUCUACAGGGAAGACCCAAUGACAAGUUGCUUCCACUGGAAAUGGGUCCUCAGGAGUGGGGGAUGGUAACUAGAUUAAGAUGGGAUUCAAAUGGGAGGCCUAGGACAACUGUCAUUAUGGGAAAUAAUGGACACAAAGAUGCCCUAUUGGAUAGUGGGGCCGGUGUAAAUAUUGUAAAUAGACAUUGUGAUUUGACUCAAUACGUGUCAGAGAUCAUUACAGCAGCCUCCUUUAUUGGGGAAGGAGUGACAGGAAAAAUGUAUCAUUCGGUAGAAAUAGUUAUACCCGGAGGGGUGAGGGGUGGGGAUUUUUGUUGUAAAGAACAAAUGCUUCAGAUAGAUCAGGCAGCUGAGCCUGUAAUAUUGGGUACUCCUUUUCUGAAGAGGAAUUAGUUAGUUUUGGAUUUCACUAAUGGAGUUCAUUUGGAACUCCAGCUGGAUGGAAGGCAUCCUGAAAGCAGGGUACAUUCCAAGAAUAUGCAGAAGCAGUGGAGGAGAUUAUACUGGCUCAACAGAAUGUGUGGGUAAAGGAGUUUCCCGAUGCAUGGAUUAAGAAUAAAACAGAAUGUGGUAAAAGCGAAGCAUGUGUUAAAAUCAUGGGGGACGAAGUGCCACCACAGAGACAAUAUAAAUAUCCUGUGCAAGCGGAGGCAGGAAUUGAGAAAAUAAUUGAAUCAUUAGAACAACAGGGGAAUUCCUCAUACAAAUAGCCCAAUUUGGCCCUUAUUAAAAGCCUCAGGAGACUGGAGAUUGACAAUGGAUUUUAGACAAAUGAAUAAAGCUACCCCCUUCUGCCCGCCAUGGCACCAAUAGUAGCAGAUCUACUUCAAGUAAUGGCAAGAAUACAGGGAGCCUCUAAAUCGUUCUGUCUUAGAUUUGGCAAAUUGCUUUUUCACCAUCCCACUGCAUCCUGAUUCUUGGGCCCGCUUCAUAUGUAGACGACAUAUUAGUGUGGGGGGACAGUGAAAAGGAGGUGACUGAGUGGACUAAAACAGUGUUGAGACUCAUCCAGGAAACGGGUUUCAAGGCUAAUAAAGAGAGAGCCCAACUAGUACAGCGGAGAGUGACUUAUUUGGGGGUGACCCUAAGGGAACAAGGAAUUCGGGUAGAUCAACAAAGGGUGAAACCAUUAAUGAAUUUAUCAAGGCCAGAUGAUUCUCAUGCAUUGAGGGUUAUGUUAGGAGGGUUUAACUAUUUAAGGAAACACAUCUGGAAUUUUGCCACUAUAACUGGACUGUUGUGGCAUUUACUAAAAAAGAAAGUAGAAUGGGAUUGGGGUCCUGAACAAGAAAAAGCUUUCUGUAAUUUAAAACAAGCCUUGAGGAAAGCUCCAGCAUUGAAAUUCCCAGAGAUAAACAAGCUGUUUGUGAUUAAGUUGGCAGCAACCCAACAAAGUCUAGCAGCAGUAUUGAUGCAGGAAAUUGACAGGAAGUUAGUACCUGUAGCAAACAAGUCUAGAAGAUUAACCCCUAUAGAGCAGCAGUUUGGGAUCUGUGAAAGAGAAUGCUGAGCUUCUGUGUGGGCCAUUGAAGCUUUUGCUUUGACUACUGGCACAGCCCCUAUUAUAAUACAAACACCUCACUCUCCCCUGAAGUAUAUUUUAUCAGGGAAACUGCAGGGGAAAGGAGUAUCAAAUACCACGAUGGCUCAAUGAACCUUGAUGUUAACUAGCAGAGAUGUUACUUACGAGAAUAACAAACAAGCAAUGAUGUUACCAUAUGCCUUCCUGACAGAAGGAGAGGAGCAUGAAAGCCCACUUCCAGAAACUUAACUGAAGUUAGUUGAAGAAGCACCCCAGGUAGAUGAAGUCUUAAGCCUAGUAGAAAAAGAGGUUUGGUUUACAUAUAUGGUGGUUCAUACCAUGAGAACCCUAAGCCAUAUAUGGGAUAUGCUGCUGUACAAAUUGAUGGGGAAACUAUUUCUGGUUCUAUGAGUAUGACUUCAGCUCAGGGAGCAGAGGUCAGAGCUCUUAGUGAUCUGCUUAAACAGAAAAAAUAAUGUUUCAGACUGUCUUUAUGUCUAUAUGGAUUCAGACGUUGUGGUACAAGGAAUGUUAUACUGGAUUGGGAUUUUGAAAAAGAAUCAUUGGGAAAAAUUUGGUCCAAAAGGAGGAUUGGAAAUCUAUCUAUGACUGACUGAAAAAAACCAAGGAGAAUUAAUAGUAAGACAUAUUGAAGGUCAUCAAAAGUGAGAAGGGGAUGAAAAAUAUUGGAAUGAUAAAGUGGAUGCUUUAGCUAAAUUAGCAGCAAAGGAACCUUUGGGAGUUGUGGCAGUUACUAGAGCUCAAGCCAUAAAACAGGAGGUUAAACCCGAGGAAAGAUGGUGAAACUGGAAUAUACAAGGUGGCUAUGCGGUGCUUAAAUAAAUAGGAGAGGUAAAGUGGGUACCUGACAAACUUCAAAGAGAUGAGAUUAUUAAUCUGUGUCACUCUAUGGCCCACCAAAGAAUAGAGAAUACUCUCUUUAAGGUAAAACAAAUUGGAAUAUGGCCUAAGGUGCAAGAGGAUGUAGAAAACGUUGUUAGAAACUGCAUAAGGUGUGCAGAAGACAGGAAUAGACCGCUGAAUUUGAUACCCUUGUUGCUCCAAAGAUUUGUGGAGCCAUGGAGUAGAAUACAGAUUGAUUAUAUUGAUAAAUUGCCUAAGACCUAAAGAGUGAAUCAGUAUUUAUUAGUGAUAGUAGAUUCCUUUUCUGGAUGGGUGGAGGCGAUUCCCACCAGAAAUCACACUGCAGAGACCACUGACAAAAAAGUUGUGGGAGGUAGUGUUUAGUAGAUUUGGAACUCAAAAGUAUUGAUUCAGAUAAUGGGCCACAUUUUGUAGGAGCAGUAAUUACAAAUUUGUUAAAAGCUUUAGGAAUAAAGCAACAACUACAUAUCCCCUAUCAUCCUCAAUCGUCAGGACAGUAGAAAGGAUCAAUCAAACUGUUAAACAAGCUCUACACAAAGUAGUGCAAGAAACUGGCAAAAAUUGGGAUGAUAAAUUGCCAGUGGUGUUGGUGGCCAUCCAAAGUAGUGACUGAUAGGGUACUGGCUACCAGCCUUAUCAAAUUCUCUUUGGAAGGCCUAUAAGAUUGUGGAGCCUUUUUUUGUACCCAGAAGAAGAAGAAGAAGAAGAAGAAGAAGACAAGGUAUCAGUUACCCAGUGAGUAAGGGAGUUACCGAUAGAACUUAAGAAAAUGGAAUUUAAACUGACUGAUGCCAUUGAAAAAGAAAGAGACUGUGGAUUCUCAUGUAGCUCAGGACAGUAAAUUAUGGAAAAUCGGAGAUAGAGUAAUGUAUUUGAAAUUAACAUAGAAAAAUCAUGUCCUGGAGUCUAAAUGGAUUGCAUCAUUUUCCAUCAUGAAUAAAAUUUCACCUACUGUAGUGCAGAUUAACAAGGGGGAAAGGGAAAGUGGGUCCACACAUCACAAUUAAAGUUAUGGCCUAAAGAUUAAAUAAUGUUCCCUUCUUUUUUCUUUUAAUUUAUCUUACAAAGGGAAAGGAAUGCCUAAUUGCUCCAGAGAUUAUCCUGUAUGGACCUUGGAUUUUGAGUGUGGGUACAGUGCUAAAAUUUUUGUCUUGGUUUAUUGCUUAUGUUUGCUUUGCUUUGCACUUUGUGCUUAGCAGAAGAAUUGUGUUGUGUGCAUUAUAUUUUAGGAAGAAAAAAAUAAUACCAGAGCUUGACCGAAGAUAGAAGAGGUUAGUGUAAGUAUUUACAAUAAUACAGCCGGAAGCAUCGGACAUUAUUCCUAUGGAAUAAUGGACAUGGCUUCAAUGUUGAGGAUCCUCAUAAUUCAAAAAGAGUGGAAAUAUGGUUUUUGGUUUUUAUGUUUUUUUAAUAUUUGGGGAAAUUAAGGGGUACAUGGAUAUACAUAUGGGGGCACCUCUAGGAUGGUGGUAUAGAUCAAAGGGAAUAAUACAUUUGACUAUUCGUGGGACAGAAUGGGAAAAACAGGACCAAACAAAACCAAAUGUAAAGAAAAACCUUCUGAGGUAAAAUUUGAAGUACGGUGGGAAGAUGACAAAAAUGUGACAUGGGAACAUCUAAAAGCCAAAAUAUUUGGAAGAGCAAUGGAGAUAUCUGUAUGUACUAAGGGGGGAAGGCCACCUAAUGUUUCGAUUUAUUUAUGAUGAAAACAAUCUGAAUGUGAGUAUCCUGAAAUGUACCUUUUAGAGUUUGGGAUUUGAUGUAAUCACCCUAGAUGUGACUAAUGAACAAGAAUUGGCUAAUACUCAUGUGGGAUGGAAUGAGUCAAUGGCUCUUAAAUUAUGGGAAUAUAGUGUAAUAGCAAAUUCUUCCAUAAUGACAAAAUUCAGCUGCUUUAGGAAAAUUAAUGGGAGAAUAUAUUUUGGGGGAUAUGGUCAUUUUUUUAAUGUUUCUUAAUCAGCUACCAGUAAAUAAGAUUGCACCAAGAAUCAUGGCAAACGAGCACCCAUAUAGGAGGGGAGAAGUAAUCAAAGCCCCAGCUAUUGUGGAUCAAACAGUCUGGUUGGAAGGAGCACAAGUAAACAUAAGUGUACAACAUCUGGAGUGUAUGCCAGAUGCCUUGCCUCUAUUACAAGCAUGGCAACAACAAUGGGGAGAUGGGACUAUACGAAAUAAGAGAGGUAUAGGGGAAUAUAUCAUAGGUAGCAUUGGUGCUGGAUCUGGAGUUUUAAACUGAUUUGAUAUUGAGACAUUCCAAGGGGAAAUGUCAGCUUUGGGUAAGAUUUUGGGGGCUAUACAGACACAUGUGACACAAAAUUUUGGUGCAUUAUCAGAAUAAGGAGUAAGAAGUGUAGGACUUCAAUUGAAACAAGCCCAAGCCUUGAAAACGUCUCUAAAUGUAAAUCUAUUUGGUGUGUCUGAGAUUGAUAAUAAAACAGCCCUAGCAAUACGACGUGUACAAUUGCAAACUUAUGGGAUACAAUACAUAGAGAGAAUGGUCAAUCUACUAAGUAAUGUACAAUAGCCUUUUGAAUGGUUCAAAGAUCAUCAUAUAUGAAAUCAACGAAUUACAGGACGGAAGAAAUAUAUUGAGUUUAAUUGGGAUCAAGCCACUCUGAGGGGAGAGUGGAAAGGCAGAAUGCUGUUACACAGCAUAGGGAAGCAAAGAAAAGCAGCAAUGGCCUGGAUGUUGCCAAAAAUUAUUAAUGGAGCGUUAUGGCAAAUAGAAAUAAGUGGGACACACUUGAUUCAAGAAGAAGGGGAUUGUAAAUUAGUAGAAUUAAUGAAAUAUUGUGAAGAGUGGGGAUGAAGUAAAUGGGAGCGCCCACAACUAACUUGGUCCCUAGAGGGAUGUCAUUUGAAGCAUUCAAGUAGACAAUGUACCAUGCAAUAUUUAGCCUCUAAUGGCACAAGAGUGUCUGAUUUAGGCAACAGGUGUAUUUGUGUGGUAACUACUGAAAAACACAUAUUUUGGGGAAGUAUGAAAAAAGGACCAAUUGAAUUCAUGUAAAUGUAAUGUAACAGACGUCAUUAUUUACCAAGGUCCUCUAUUUUUAAAAAAGGAAAUUGUUUGGGAACCAAAAGAUGUAGACUGGUCCUUUGAUAUGGGGAUACAUUGGGAACAAGCGAAAAAAAUCAGGCAAUAUGCAAAAGAUGUAUCUAUGUAUGCUCAGCUGGGAAAAAUAAACAUUUUGACCCACAAUGGUCAAAUAUUAAAAUUGGGGAAAGAAGGAGAAGAAUUGGCAAUUUCUCAUUGGUAUGAUGUUUUUAAAGGAUGGUCUCCCAAUGUCACAGAUCUUCUAAAUUUAAUGCUACACCCUAUUGUCAUAUUAUUUGUAUUAAUGAUAUUGUUAACCUUUAUUAUGCUAUGUUUACGCUGCUGGAUAAGAAAGUGACAAGAAGUUUUGGAUCAAGUGAUAUAUAAAAUUGAAUUGCUUGUGAAAUUAUAAAGUGAUACAAUAAUUAAUGGCAUUAAUCGUGUAUCAAGAUGGAGGAAUGUUGGGGAUAUAUAUAUAUAUACACACAUGGUGAUUCAUAUAUCUAUGUAAUAUGUUAUAGGUAAUUGAGGCCUGGUAUGAAUGAUACGUGCUUGACAUGAAUGUGUGCGUUGCAAGUUAGCAACUGAAGCAAGAACUUAAGGUCAAGGACUAUUAGAACUAUUUCUUCAAAAAAAAUCUUAUGUUCAGAGAAAAAUACAGAAAAUCAUCUGAAAAGGAAACAACAUCAGCUGGACUGAUAUAAAAUUGUAUAAGAAUUGGAGGAAAUGGCAUGCCUUGGAUCAUGGCGGCCUGCCCAGGAUUGUCUCUUUGGAAUUGUGUGGGUAGAAAGCCUAGUAAACAAAGGCAAAGAACCGAUGACAUGAUGGAAUAGACUAUAAAUGGGAUUUCUGCAAAUGGGAGUCGUUUAUUGAUCCAGAGUCCCAUGUAGAUAUAGAUGUGGUUUUCGCUGGCUCCCCACAUCUUAUGAUCUUAUCCCAAUGGAAGGAAUCUCGACUGGCCAUUGGGACUAUUCUGACCUUUGAACUCUGGUAUAGUAUGUUUGGGGUGUGAAUGUGGAGUGAAUAAGAUUUGUUUUGUAAUCAGUAAAAAGCAUUUAGAGUAUUAUAUACCAACACUGUGUCCGGUAUCUGCUCGCUCCCCAUCCCAUAGGGAGACCUCUAUUGAGGGUCUAACAGAGAUAGUAAAAUUCAAAAUGACAAUGCAGAAAAGACAGAGGUAUUUUAAAAAGCUUGAGUUCAGUAUUUGGAAAAAAAGCAGGAUGAUGUGCUGAGGAUGUUGUAUGUAUUUCCAUUACAUUAGUAACCAAAGAGGAUGUUAAACAACAUCUGUUAGGAAUAAAUAUUUUGAAAUCUGCAUGGUCAGGUAACUUGCACACAACAGUCCCUAAAGAGCUGAAUGAGGAGAUAUCUGGCCCACUCAUGUUCAUUGUUAAUAAAUCUUGGGAAACCAGGGCAAUUCCUGAGGAACAUAAGAGUGCUAAUGCCUUUUUAAUAUUCAAAAAAGGCAACUGGGAUGAUCAGGUAUGAUAAUUUGGGGAAUGUCUGUACUAUUUAUUAUUUCCAGGGAGAUUAUGAACUCAGUUUAUAUCUUUACCAAGCUGCAAACUCCACUUUGAAUGUGCAGCCCAUUUGCCUUCUCUUAUUGUCUGUUUCCUUGAUGUUGGAUAGAAAUUCCAAAAGCUGGUAGAAAGGGAAUAACAAAGAGAGGGUGAUCUGACUUAAAAUGCUCUCCCAUUGAAAUGGAAUAGCUCAAAUAAAAUUGACUAGCUCCCAACUCUGAGAACUGGUUAGUCACCUGCUAGGGGUUUCCUGAUCAGCCUGCUCAGGUGACUAGAGGGCAUCCAGUAGAGGGCCUGAAAGGUUAUAAAAGACAGGUGCUAUUCUAUUUGUUUACUUCAUCCUUCCUAUUUUUUUACCAGAUCAAGCUGAGAGGAGCUGCAUGUAGUAGCCUCAUGAGCCAAAAGGAAACCUGCCUUCCUCAACACAUAUGGAGUCCUAAAGACUCCCAAGGGAAGGUUGAACUAGUAAGGGGCAUUACAUUUAGAAUGCCUGUCUAUUUCCUAAAUUAUCUGUGCUUUAUCUAUUAAAUAAAAGAACAAUGGUGUUAGAAUGAUGGUGUCUAUGUGUAAUAUGCCAAAUCUACCACAUUGCCCCUAAGAGAGUCAAACUAUAACCCAGAAGGUUCACAACUUCAGUGGGAUUCUGUGUGUAUAAGCUACUGAGGUAGCUUGGGGGUCAGCACUGGUGCUGGGGUUGUAGGCAGGCGGGUUGAGCACCUUCAUUUCAAUGAAAGGGUAGCAGUCUGAUAGCCGGUUUGCAGGAAAUGUGCCAGACAGGACACAGGAGGAAACAGUUCUGCAAUCUUCUGAGACUUAGGGAAGCAUAAAAUACUUCAAGAUCCAGAAAUGAGAUUUCCCCACAGCAAUUUAGUCAGUGUCUGGAAAGGGGAGAAGACAAGAUCUGUGACACCUCGAUAAUUAUCGACCAGUUAGCCUGAUGUCAAUUCUGGGUAAAAUAACGGAAGAGCUGAUACAGGAUUUAAUUCAUAAAUAAUUAAAGAAUAGGACUAUACUGAAUGCCAGCCAACAUACUUAUAUGAAAAAUAGGUCUUCUCAAACAAACCUGACUUCUUUCUUUGAGAAUACAAGUUUGGUUGAUUAAGGUAACUGCAUAGAUGUAAUAUAUUUAGACUUUUGUAAGGCAUUUGUAAGGCAUUUGACUUAGUACCACUUGGCAUUGUGACUAAACUAUUAGCACUGUAGAAUAUCAGUUAAACAUAUUAAAAACUAGCUAAAUGACAGAGCUUGAAAAGUAGUUAUCUGUGUUUCUAGUAGGGUUCCACAGGGAUCAAUAUCUUGCCCAAUGCUAGUUAACGUUUUCAGCAAUAAUCUGGAAGUAAAUAUAAAAUCACUCCUGGGCUCAUUCAAACAAAAUGUUUUGAUACAGCCAAGUGCAAAGUUAUACAGCAGGGAACAAGGAAUGCAGGCCACACCUACAGGAUGUUGGAUUGUACCCUGGAAAGCAGUGACUCUGAUAAGAAUGUAGGGGUCAGAGUGGACAAUGCUGUGGCAAAAAGGGCUAAUGUGAUCUUUGUAUAUAUCUACAGAAAUGUAGUGAAUAGGAGUAGGGAUGUGAUUUUACCUCUCUAUAGAGCAUUGGUGAGACUGAUACUAGAAUACUGCACACAGUUCUGGUAUCAACAAUCAAAAAAGGAUGUGGAAAAACUGGAAAGGGAGCAGAAAAGAUUCAGAAGAAUAAUCUGAGGGCUGAAGAAAAAAGCCUUACAAUUCAUUCUGUUUAACUUAUAAAAAAAAAUUGAGUGAUGACUUGAUUGCAGUGUAUGUAUCGUCACAGGGAGAAAAUACAGGGGACUAAAUGGCUCUAUAAUUUAGUGGAGAAAGGCAUAACAAGAACCAAUGACUGGAAGCUGACAUUUAAUUUAGAAAUAAGGUAAAUUUUUUUGAACAGUGAGGGUGAUAAUCACUGGGGCCAACUACCAAGGGAAAUGGUAACUGAAUGUUUUUCUAGGAACUAUGCUUUAUCCAAGCCUGAGUAAUUGGGCUCAAUACAAUCGUAACUGAGUGAAAUUUUAAGGUCUUUAGUAUACAGGAGGUCAGACUAGAUGAUUUGAUGAUCCCUUGAACUCCUUGAAUCUAUUACUGUUUGUUAACAAUAUUAUAUUGAUGUCUUAAUAAACAGUGGAAUGAAUGAAUCUAUGAUGAUAAUAAUGAAGCAUAGUUACAGAGUUAUGUACGUAAAUAGUAUCUGAACGUCAGUAUUGUUGCACAAGUGUAAUUCAUAAAGUCAUGUUUUUUUAAAGAUGGUAACUGACCGUGAAUCCCAUUGCUGAUUGAACCUGCUAAUAUUCUAAACAGAGCUCUCAACCAUGCUUGUAGCUGUUCCUAUCUCUUCACAUUGACUCACCAGACAUUAUAGGCUCCAGAGUAAUGUUUGAGGUUAUUGUGUGGGUGGUUGUGUUGAUUUGCAUGCAGCUUGUAUUGUGCUGGGAGAUGUGGAUUGAUUUUGUGCAGGGGGAAAAUGAGAAGAGUGUGCUGCAGUGAGGUGGGGUCUGUGUGUUUGGGGUUAUUGUGCAAGCUGAUUGUGGUGUUGUGUAGGUGGUUGUGUUGAUUUGUGUCUGGGAGUGUUGUGCUAGGAGAUUUGUGUUGAUUUGUAUGAGUGUCAGGUGGGCAAAAUAAUCCACCCUCUGUGCAGGCUCCCCAUACAACCAAUGAAAUUGUUGCAUGAAUAUUAGGUGUAGAGUAAAGGUGGUGAUUGGUUGUUACCUCAACUGUCAGAAUGGUCUAGGACUCUUGGCAUAGCAUAGAUACAUGCCUUACUAUAGCUGGAAACAAAACAGGUGAAAUGUGUAAUGUAAAAAAGAUUGCAAACUUAAAAACUGGAUGGUAACAGACCAUGAAAUCUAGUGGUAACUAAACCUGGUGAUAUUCUGAACAAAAAGAGCUCUUGGCCAUGCUUUUAGCAGCUUCCAUCACUUCAUACUGAUUCAAGACAUUUUAGGCUUCAGUAUGCCAUUCCUGGAAUUUUAUUGUACAGAUAAUUAGUUGUUAAAUUUAUUUUGUUGGCCAUGAAAUUAAUAUUUAAUUUGUGUUUAAACUUGCAGAAAACAUUUCUUAUCCACAAAUAAACAUAAUAUGGCUGAUUUUUUAAAAAUUAUCAGUAAUGAUAUCAAUAUAUAUAAAACUGGCAUUUUAGAAAAAUGGUAGGUAAAUAAAAUGUAAUUAGGAGAAAGUUGGUCUCGCUUUAGUGUUUGCAGACCCACAAAGGACCAAAAUUUUCAAAAGUAACUAGUGAUUUGGGGUAACUCAAUUUUGGGGUACAUGACUUGAAGGACCUGAUUUUCAGAGUGGUUUCUCAGCACUUGCUGAGAAUCAGGCCCAUUUAAGCUGUCAUAGGUUAGUAAUCCAAAAAUCAAGGCACCCCCAAAUUACUAGUUAGUUUAAAAGGAUGUCUGAAGUGGAGCAGAGGGACCGAUUUAGUCCUAAAACUGUGCUCAGUACUUUAAAAUAUAUCUCCACAUAUUCUGAAAUGUGCUUCCAUUUAAAACUGAGCAUCUUUGUAUUUCAGUCUUUAGUCUAUGACUAUCAGAGUCCUGAUGCCCCAAGGGGGCAACUGGGGGUCUGAACGCCUAUGAAUAAGUAAUUAAAUCAAUAGGUUGCAUACAAUUUUAUUGAGUAUAAAUAUAUGUCAAAUGAGGUCUUUUACAAAAGCUUGUAAAGUUCUGAACUUGAUGGUCAGUAGGAGAUAUGUGUACAGGUUAUGGUUAUGAAUGUAUGCAUGUGUAUAUAUGUAGGAAAUUGUAAUUUUAACUGUGGUGCAACUACAGCUUCCCCAGAGCCCUGUGUAAGCUCGAAAGCUUGUCUCUCUCACCAACUGAAGUUGGUCCAGUAAAAGAUAUUACCUCACCAGCCUUGUCUCUCCCAUAUCCUUGGACCAAUACGGGCACAACAACACUGCAUACAACAAGGGGUGAUGCAAUUGGGCUGGGAGGGUUCAUCCUCCAGGCUAGCUGUUUACAUGAAACUAACUCCAAACACCUAGGAUAACCCAGGGAAAGACAAUGGUGGACUGUUCGAGUUAAUGGAAAGACAUUGAAACUGAAAAAUAAAACCCAAUCUUGAAAAUCAAAGAAGGGGAAAGUUUCCCCUCUGCUAUGUAACCCUAAAUUACCCCAUUAAAAAGAAAGGGGUUUAAAGUGAAGUCUGUCCAGCAACUGAGGGCCAUCAUCUAAGCAGGGUGCUGUUUGUGAAACACUGGAUUCCCGUCUACAACAAAAGGGCAUGCUAGGAAACUGUUCAGAGACAAUAUGUAAUUUGUAUUAUAAAAGGGAAUUUAGGUAAUAGAGAAGUGUAAAGCCUGAGAUUGUGUCUGUUUUUUUUUUUCUCUGUAACUUGUAUGUGUUUGCUUUUCCUACUAUUUCAUCUCGGAAGCUAUGAUUUGUCUAUUAGAUAAAUUUGUUUGUUUACCCCAAGCAGGUCCCUGGAAUUCAAACUGUGAGAAGUGUGUUCCCAAAGUGUGUUUCCCAAUGGAUAAUUGGGGUCAGGUUUCAUGUCUUCAGGGGUAACGAACUGGAGGCAAAAAGUCUGAAUGUCUGUGAGUUAAGAACUUGGGGACACUCAGAACUAGAAGGUCACCCUGGAAAGAGUAACUAGACUAGUGGAAGCCAGGGUGAAAUCCUAUGCUUAUAGGCUGAUUACUGGUGUCAAAGUCCCACGCCUUAGCAGCACAGCAUUAAGGCACCCAAAUUACAAGGCAGGAGGUGGCAGAACCAUUUACUGCUCUGGGUGUUCCCCAAUGUCACAGUGGUGUAAUCUUUACAGGAGUUCCACCCCCAAUAUCGGUAAACUGUGCUUCACACUGCAAACACUUGCAAAAACAGACCCUAAAGGAUUCAAAAGUGAGGAGCCAAAGUGCAAAGUUACAGUUUAUUAUUUUCUUUUGUUUAUUUUGGGUUAAGCGAAAUAGAACAAGAAAAGGGGAAAAUGAGCCAAUUAAAGUCCUUGGACACAAUGGAUAAAAAGAGGGUUGGGAGCUUAUGUUUGAAAUAUGGUUUACCUCACCAGGGAAAAUCAGCAGAGGAUCUGAAAUCCUCACUCACUGAGUAUUUUGAGCAGGAGGAGGAGAAUGAAGAAGGAGACCACACAGAACUGGAAAACCAGCCAGACUAUAAUUCAUAACAAGAGAUGGCUGCUCAGGUAGAGCUGAGCAGAUUAGAGAUCCUCAGAGACAAGGUGGCAUGUGAGCACCACAUACAGCUGGCAGAGCUGAGAAUGCAAGAGAAGAAAGCUACUGAGGAAGAAGAGGGGAGUGGGCCCACCAGAGAUGAAUGGAGGCAAUCCAGGCAGCCCAGGUCAACGAGCCUAACAGCGACAAAUGCUGGCAAUCAAAGCAGAAGAGAGCAUACCAGUGGCAAAUGGAGGCACAAGAAAUGCAGUGCAGAAUAUUGAAAGAUCUCUCAAGGCCUCAACUCUGCAAGCCCCUAGGCUUGAAACAAUGCCAUCAGAGCACGCAUGCUUCCAGGUUGAAUUCAACGUUUCUAAAUGAGGUAUAACAGAAAAAAACAGCUUGAAUAAUUACUACAUCUGGCUUCCAUAUUAUGGAAGUGUACUCACCUCCCCAAAAUACUUAGCAGUUUUUGCUUCAGCUUUUGCAGUGUGAGACAAAAGGAAAUUUCAUUGCAUCAACAAUUGAAGUGAGUUUUAAAGCGUAUAAAAAGAUAUCUCAGAGAGAGUGUCUUUGACCAGCCGAGCGGGGAAUGGAAAGUCCUGCCAUCCACUGAGCUCAAAUUUUUCAGCUCUCUCUGAACUCCAGGCUUGGAGCUGUGAGGCUGACCCUGCACCUGUCUAUGGAACUGCAGAUGGCUGAUGUAACACAGGCUAUUGCCUUCAAAACAGGAAGGAGGAGGAGAACCAGAUUGCUUGUGUGAGAUGAACGCACAUUUCCAAAAUGCUAAUUAUUUGUUCCCUAAAAUAUUACAGACGUCUUGUGCAUUUACAAUUGGGAUUCGUCUUCAUGCAUCAUUAAAAGCCUAAUGUGUACCUUCGGAGAAGGAGAAAAGUCUGUUCAGAAAUUACAAAAUUUUUAGCUGUAUGCCAAACAACUCUCGUGUUAUUCAUUAAUGUAUUUUAUUUCUUCUUCUCGUGAAUUAAAGGAAUCAGAAGCAAAUAUAGUAUCACAGUGGCUUAAAUAAAGACUUCAGGUAUAGAUUUCAUUAAUCUAAAUGAAGCAUCAUCACACAGGAAAAGUAUAAAUCAAAUAUAUUCAUCAUCCUUGUCUUUUAAAAAAAUCAGUGAAUGUAGUAGCUAAAGGAAUUGUCAAUGUCCUUUGCAGUUAACAAGAGCCAUCGGAAUAUAUAAUUAACUACAAUGGUCUAUUAAAGCAGUAGAAAUAGAACUAAAUUGGUACCUUUCCGAAAAUAUAAAAUAGCACAGCAGUAUUAGAACUUUCAAACAAAAUAACGGUUGAUUUUAAGGAUAAACUGGGAAAAGUAUACCAAAUUGUAAAAAUAAUUUUUUAAUAUUGAAAAUGAGGCAUGUUGUAUCUGACACCAAAAAUACACCCUAAUUAACAUUGUCCACCACGCAAAUAUAUGAACAAAACAACUUAAAAAUUAAACAUAGAAACUAUUGUACAAUAAAGAGCUUUACAUUUAUGAAGUAUAGUAUUUCAGGCCUGUAAUCAGUAUUCUGUUAAUAAAUGGAAGCCCCUUCCAUAGGCUAUUAACUAAAGAUAUCUUUUGUUAUUUGAGGCUGAAACCUACAAUGUGAUCUGCAGUCCCUUUGACUUCACAGAGGCAUAAGGAUACCCCUCUGCAGGAGGAUCUCUUGGUAAGAUCAGAAA